This 131-nucleotide small RNA is filed under the name Salmonella enterica subsp. enterica serovar Senftenberg. RNAcentral describes it as "RtT sRNA". It matches the Rfam family "RtT RNA". Rfam says of the family: This family represents a bacterial cis-regulatory element known as RtT RNA. The exact function of RtT is unknown although it is thought that it may be involved in changing the cellular response in relation to amino acid starvation. The record is from RNAcentral. Lineage: Bacteria; Pseudomonadati; Pseudomonadota; Gammaproteobacteria; Enterobacterales; Enterobacteriaceae. RNAcentral also lists the same sequence under 10 other names.
AUUCUACCCAUGUGGGGAAGGAUGAGAAGCUUCGACUAAGGUUCGAUUCGAGCGCAGCGAGAAAGCGUUGCCGCAGGCAACGACCCGAAGGGCGAAGCGCGCAGCGCUGAGUCAUCCUUCCCCCAUAGGCA